This 506-nucleotide ribosomal RNA is filed under the name uncultured bacterium. Its description in RNAcentral is "partial 16S ribosomal RNA". It matches the Rfam family "Bacterial small subunit ribosomal RNA", at positions 28 to 523 of the family's 1533-position model. The record is from RNAcentral.
GAUGAACGCUAGCUACAGGCUUAACACAUGCAAGUCGAGGGGUAACGAGAGGAAAGCUUGCUUUCCUUGUCGACGACCGGCGCACGGGUGAGUAACGCGUAUCCAACCUGCCCCCAACUAGGGAAUAACCUUGCGAAAGUAAGACUAAUGCCCUAUAAUUUCCUCAGAUGACAUCUGACGAGGAAUAAAGAUUUAUCGGUUGUGGAUGGGGAUGCGUCUGAUUAGCUUGUUGGCGGGGUAACGGCCCACCAAGGCAACGAUCAGUAGGGGUUCUGAGAGGAAGGUCCCCCACAUUGGAACUGAGACACGGUCCAAACUCCUACGGGAGGCAGCAGUGAGGAAUAUUGGUCAAUGGGCGGAAGCCUGAACCAGCCAAGUAGCGUGCAGGAUGACGGCCCUAUGGGUUGUAAACUGCUUUUAUACAGGAAUAAAGUUAGCCACGUGUGGUUAUUUGUAGGAACUGUAUGAAUAAGGACCGGCUAAUUCCGUGCCAGCAGCCGCAGUAA